This 305-nucleotide ribosomal RNA is filed under the name uncultured bacterium. RNAcentral describes it as "bacterial SSU rRNA". It matches the Rfam family "Bacterial small subunit ribosomal RNA", at positions 335 to 643 of the family's 1533-position model. The record is from RNAcentral.
AUCCUACGGGGGGCAGCAGUGGGGAAUAUUGCACAAUGGGAGAAACCCUGAUGCAGCGACGCCGCGUGAGUGAAGAAGUAUCUCGGUACGUAAAGCUCUAUCAGCAGGGAAGAAAAAAAGUCUUUGGCUUUGGACGGUACCUGACUAAGAAGCCCCGGCUAACUACGUGCCAGCAGCCGCGGUAAUAUGUAUGGAGCAAGCGUUAUCCGGAUUUACUGGGUGUAAAGGGAGCGUAGGCGGUAAGGCAAGUCUGAUGUGAAAGGCCAGGGCUCAACCCUGGGACUGCAUUGGAAACUGUUUAACUG